AACGCAUUAAGUGCCCCGCCUGGGGAGUACGGCCGCAAGGCUAAAACUCAAAGGAAUUGACGGGGGCCCGCACAGCGGCGGAGCAUGUGGCUUAAUUGACGCAACGCGAAGAACCUUACCAAGGCUUGACAUACACCGGAAACGGCCAGAGAUGGUCGCCCCCUUGUGGUCGGUGUACGGUGGUGCAGGCUGUGUCAGCUCGUGUCGUGAGAUGUUGGGUUAAGUCCCGCAACGAGCGCAACCCUUGUCCCGUGUUGCCAGCAGGCCCUUGUGGUGCUGGGGACUCACGGGAGACCGCCGGGGUCAACUCGGAGGAAGGUGGGGACGACGUCAAGUCAUCAUGCCCCUUAUGUCUUGGGCUGCACACGUGCUACAAUGGCCGGUACAAUGAGCUGCGAUACCCGAGGUGGAGCGAAUCUCAAAAAGCCGGUCUCAUUCGGAUUGGGGUUCAACUCGACCCCAUGAAGUGGAGUCGCUAGUAAUCGCAGAUCAGCAUUGCUGCGGUGAAUACGUUCCCGGGCCUUGUACACACCGCCCGUCACGUCACGAAAGUCGGUAACACCCGAAGCCGGUGGCCCACCCCUUGUGGGAGGGAGCGUCGAAGGUGGGACUGGCGAUUG
RNAcentral lists this ribosomal RNA (620 nucleotides) under Streptomyces parvulus. Its description in RNAcentral is "bacterial SSU rRNA". It matches the Rfam family "Bacterial small subunit ribosomal RNA", at positions 854 to 1477 of the family's 1533-position model. The record is from RNAcentral. Lineage: Bacteria; Bacillati; Actinomycetota; Actinomycetes; Kitasatosporales; Streptomycetaceae.